Molecule: ribosomal RNA, 560 nt
Filed under: Hesperomyces parexochomi
Lineage: Eukaryota; Fungi; Ascomycota; Laboulbeniomycetes; Laboulbeniales; Laboulbeniaceae
Description: SSU rRNA
Rfam family: Eukaryotic small subunit ribosomal RNA
Source: RNAcentral
CAUGCUUUUGACGGGUAACGGGGAAUUAGGGUUCGACUCCGGAGAGGGAGCCUGAGAAACGGCUACCACAUCCAAGGAAGGCAGCAGGCGCGCAAAUUACCCAAUCCCGAUACGGGGAGGUAGUGACAAGAAAUACCGAUUCAGGAUCUUAUUGGAUCUUGAGAUUGGAAUGAGUACAAUUCAAACCCAUUAACGAGGAACAACUAGAGGGCAAGUCUGGUGCCAGCAGCCGCGGUAAUUCCAGCUCUAGUAGCGUAUAUUAAAAUUGUUGCAGUUAAAACGCUCGUAGUUGAACUUUGGGCUUGGCUGGCUGGUCCGCCUCACCGCGUGCACUGGUCCGGCUGGGCCUUUCCUCUUGGGGAUCCACAUGCCCUUCACUUGGGUGUGUUGGGGAACCAGGACUUUUACUUUGAAAAAAUUAGGGUGUUCAAAGCAGGCAUUUGCUCGAAUACAUUAGCAUGGGAUAAUAGAAUAGGACGUGUGGUCUUAUUUUGUUGGUUUCUAGGACCGCCGUAAUGAUUGAUAGGGAUAGUUGGGGGCAUCGGUAUUCAAUUGUCAGA